UGAGUUGGCUGGGCGGCCGCGGAAUCCAGGUUCACCUGGUUUUCGAGGAAAGUCCGGACUUCACAGAGCAGGGUGAUUGCUAACGGCAAUCCGAGGUGACUCGCGGGAAAGUGCCACAGAAAACAGACCGCCACCACCGGGUCUUCGGACUCGCCGGAGGUAAGGGUGAAACGGUGCGGUAAGAGCGCACCAGCAUUCCGGGUGACCGGAGUGGCUAGGCAAACCCCACCCGAAGCAAGGCCAAGAAGGCCGCAACCUGGUUGCGGCCGCGCAGGCGCCCGAGGGUUGCUCGCCCGAGCCUGCGGGUAGGCCGCUCGAGGCACCCGGCGACGGUGUGUCCAGAUGGAUGGUCGCCACCUCGCCGCCGCGGUCAGCCGCGGUGGUGCGGGACAGAAUCCGGCUUACAGGCCAACUCGUUCC
Molecule: RNase P RNA, 420 nt
Filed under: Mycolicibacterium novocastrense
Lineage: Bacteria; Bacillati; Actinomycetota; Actinomycetes; Mycobacteriales; Mycobacteriaceae
Description: RNase P RNA component class A
Rfam family: Bacterial RNase P class A
About the family: Ribonuclease P (RNase P) is a ubiquitous endoribonuclease, found in archaea, bacteria and eukarya as well as chloroplasts and mitochondria. Its best characterised activity is the generation of mature 5'-ends of tRNAs by cleaving the 5'-leader elements of precursor-tRNAs. Cellular RNase Ps are ribonucleoproteins.
Source: RNAcentral